AAGGCCUCAAUUUCCUGUCCUCUGCUUACUGCCCCUUUUUUUGCCUGCGAAUGGCGGCGAUUUGAAGUUGGGGCUUUUCGUUUCCUCCAAAACAUUGAUAUCUGGAAAGGGAGCCCCUUAACACUUUUGGAGGGAACUGGCUGCAGCAUUUGGCGGGGAGAGAUAAACUGGUUUCCCACCUCUGCUUACUCCCACCUUCUCCCCUUAAUCUUCUCUUCCUCUGUGCGAGACUUUUUUCCUUUUUUAUUGUAGACACAGGGUCUUUGUUCUGCUGCCCAGGUUGGAGUGCAGUGGCGUGAUCAUAGCUCACUGCAGCCUCAACCCCCCGGGCCCAAGCGAUCCUUCCACCUCAGCCUCCCGAGUAGCUGGGCCUAGAGGUGCACACCACCAUGCCUGGCUAAUUUUUAAUUUUUUUUGUAGAGAUGGAGCCUUUCUAUGUUGCCAAGCCUAGCCUCGAACUCCUGGCCUCCCAAAAUGUGGGGAAUACAGGCGUGAGCCACUGCACCCCGGGUCAUUCCUCUUUUACUUCCUUGCUGUACCCCAACUAUCCUUCCCCCUCGGUGCCCUUAAAACCUUUGCAUUGGGACUUAACGGUAAUAGAAUGGCAUUCCUCACUGCCUCCGAACCACUCAAGCUGCUGCCCAUGCACUCUCUUCUGCAUGGCUCCUGGACUAAGCAGCCUCCCUU
Molecule: long non-coding RNA, 687 nt
Filed under: Homo sapiens (human)
Lineage: Eukaryota; Metazoa; Chordata; Mammalia; Primates; Hominidae
Description: non-protein coding lnc-SYCP1-2:2
Source: RNAcentral